Gallus gallus (chicken) is the source of this 1368-nucleotide long non-coding RNA. RefSeq lists it as uncharacterized. NCBI's taxonomy places the organism in Eukaryota, Metazoa, Chordata, Aves, Galliformes, Phasianidae. The record is from RefSeq and is a predicted model, not a curated record. The transcript has 3 exons.
AGACCUGAGUGAAGCAAACUUGUAUGUGCUACCUUGAGAGCAUGCCAGACUGCACUGGAUUGCAGUUCUCAACAAAAGAGCUUAAGUAGUUUUGCAGAACACUCUGAGCCUGGAUUGUGACUGAGCUCACCUGAUUCCUGGAAACUGUCCUCAGGAGUGGGGAAAAAGAUGAGAGGAACAGAAUUUGUCAGAACAGAGUGAUAUAAGAGAGUCUUUUCCAUCUGCCGAAGAUUCAGUCCAACAUUGAUGGGAAAAUUUAAAGAAGCUCCUCCAAAUGUUACUGAUUCAUGUUGUAAUAUUAUUUGAAACCAGAAAUAUCUGCAUGUUCAUCUUAGUGUAUGUUCAUAAAAGACUGUGCCCUUGAUUAUAAAAAAAAAUAUCUAGUAGCUCUUUUCUGUGCUAUAUUUUGAUAGUGAGCUUGGGGAGUGUUUGCAUUGGAAAAAUGCCCAGAGAACAUUUUAUUGGUCACAUUCAAUUUUAAAAUGGUUUAUGUCUCCCAAAACCCUAGGUUUACAGUAUUUAAUAUUACUAAUGGGAUGGUACAAUCGCCAAGCAUUUAUCAGCAUAGAGAUAUCAGAAUGGAAAUAGUAAAAUGACACAUUAAUCUCUGAAAUCUCAAUAUGCCGCCACAGAAACACCCACUGCCCAUUAUCCAGCUGUUAUGAAAAUACCAAGUUCCUAGUAACAGACACUUUGGAAGAGGUGAAAGUGCUGUGGAAAGAGUAUUGCAGUUAGCUUAUGCCUUCCUUUCCUUGUUCAUCUUCAGUCCCAAGCAGUUUGAUCUCACAGACAGUGCUGCUUGCCUCCCAUGAAGAUGGGUCAUUGCUAGGCUAUAUUGAAAUGGGGGAGACAAGAGGUAGAUUGUAUUCUGUAUUUUUUUUCUUUUCUUUUUUUUUUUUUUUUUUUGGUUAUAAAGCCACACUAAGCACUCCUACACAGGGCAUUUGGUCUGUCACGACAGCAGAGCUCCCACUGGUUUCAGCUGGCACUAGAUGAAACUCUUGGAGACCUGACAUUUAUACAUUCUGCUUAAUGCUUUAAGGGUGGGCAGAGGACAAAGUCACAGGCUGCCUGUUGGAAGGGCUGUAAUUUUGCAGCUAACUCCACAUCUAGGUUUGGCUGUCCCCCUUUGCCUCAGAUUCUGGCAUUACCCAUAGACUAUUCUGUAAGGUAUGAAAGUGAAAAUGGAGAAACUGUGCAUUUAAAGUUCCUGGCUGAUGAUGGGGGAAUUAGAAUCAGCAGCAUUUUCACUGGUACCUGUAUGAGCUUAAAUGCUCCUGCUUGCUCAAGCUGCUUCUCACGGGUUUUGCUGGGUAAAAGAAAAAAUUAGUUAACUGUUGCCUAAUAAAAAAAUCUGAAAAAGUUGAA